ACGCUUUUCGGAGUGUAAACCGCUUUUCUCGGGGACGAUGGAGGACGGUCCCCGAGGAAUAAGGCCCGGUUAACUACGUGCCAGCAGCCGCGGUAAUACGUAGGGGCCGAGCGUUGUCCGGAGUUAUUGGGCGUAAAGCGCGCGCAGGCGGCUUCGCGCUUCCGACGUAAAACCCCCCGGCUUACCCGGGGAGGGUCGCUGGGUCCGGCGAGGCUUGAGGGCGGGAGAGGGUGGUGGAAUUCCCGGUGUAGGGGUGAAAUGCGUAAAGAUCGGGAGGAACACCUGUGGCGAAGGCGGCCACCUGGCCCGACCCUGACGCUGAGGCGCGAAGGCGUGGGGAGCGAACGGAAUUAGAUACCUCGGUAGUCCACGCAGUAAACGAUGCAGACUAGGCGUAGGUGGACUUGACCCCAUCUGUGCCGGAGCUAACGCGGUAAGUCUGCCGCGCUGGGGAGUACGGCCGCAAGGCUAU
RNAcentral lists this ribosomal RNA (472 nucleotides) under uncultured bacterium. RNAcentral describes it as "bacterial SSU rRNA". It matches the Rfam family "Bacterial small subunit ribosomal RNA", at positions 411 to 897 of the family's 1533-position model. The record is from RNAcentral.